ACAAAUCGACUUUGAGGACAAAAUGUUCACUUGUUGCCUAAUAUAUCCCACUCACUAACAGGGGACACGAUGAAGAGAUAAUCGAAUUUUAUACCAGGUCAAAGUAUAGAUAUAUAGAUGUGGUUUUCAGAGCAUGCCAAAACUUAUUAAUACAAAUAAUUUAAAACAGGGUAUUGUUUGUACAGACCUGGAUCUAGCUGUUUAUAUUCCCUAUGAAUGCAGCAACUGCAAGGCAUAUCAACUGAACAAUAUAUGCAACAUAUGAGGGAAUUAAAUUAUUUCCACACUGGGUAUUGCACUAUAGGUCCAACGGGGAAUUAUUUGAGAUCCGUAUCCCUGCUCCAUCAGCAUCAUAACAGAACAGAACAGAUUUUACAGUCUAUGCAGUCAACGAUAUGGCUAUUAGGAAGUCAUUCGUAAUGAACAGCUUCAGUAGCCUACAGAGUGCACAAUGUUUAAGGGAACUGUCUGGACUGUAAAUACUCCUUAUGAUCAGUCACAGCCUCUGUGGUACACAAUACGUCCAACAGAAAGCCAUUUGUUGUGACUAAGAUCCACACUCUAUACACAUACAUCAUCUUUAAUGUACACCAUAAUGGCUUUAGCAACAUAUACAGCACGGAAUAAGUCUAAAUAUCAAAAUGCAAAAGAACCUGUGUCUAAAAAUUUUUUCCAUGUAACCUUACUGAAUAUAACUGAAAACCUGUGGUGUGUUUCCAUUACUAAUACGUAAACCGGGUAAAGAAACAUCAGACUCACGGCGUCUUUAUUAACGAGCUGACGCUAAAAGAAUAUUUAAAUAAGAGUAUUACAGUCGAUUCUGACUGGCUGUCGUUCACGAGCCUGAUCAGUGUGAUAUCGCUCAGCAUUAGAAAACGAAACAGGUCCAGAGAUUGGAUCAAAAAAUAUAACAAAUAGAUCGUUGACUAAAGUCUAACAGUAAAGUAAAGCUUUUCAAAAGAAAACCAAAGCACACAAAGUAUCACAUGACCAUGAUGAUGAUGAGUCGCUGGGAAAAAUAACAUGUAUGACCCAAUACGUACAUUUUUUUUCCGUUUAUAUUAAUGCACCCGGUCAAAUCUGUUACAUUUUACAUGGCCUGGACAAUCUGAAGGGUAGAGGAACAAUGAUUUCCAGGAGUUAUAGCAUAAGCAGUAAGAGGAACUAACUUCUUACAAAGACGUUCCAAAUGUAACUAUACUGUACGACUUUUUAUUUAUUUAUUGGAGGGGAAAGUGCAGGGGUUUGGAAACAGUCAAAUUACAGGAAGAUUAAAUCACACCACAUGGUCGCUAUUUUCCUACAGCAGUACAAAAACAACCGCUUGUGUGCUGAACGCCCUGUAUAAUCUAACCCCAAUAAUAAACCAAUUAUUGUGCUACUGAACAAACAAAUGGUGUGUAAACAGGCACAUUGCUGUAGUAUACAGCGUCUAUAAAAAGUGUGGAAGCCUCUAGUUUAGUUUAGUUGUUAAGACACGCAUGUUCCUGGAAGUUCUCAGGAGUCCAAAAUGACAUUUUCACAUCCAACAGAAGAACUUCUGAAAACAGGAGAGAUGAGGUUAGCAGACUGCCUCACCCCCAGAGUCAAACAUGUAGGUGGAGGCUUAAUGGUUUUGGGUUGUGUUGGAGCAGGGAAGGUUAUUCCGAGUGAAAAGCACCAAAACGAAUCCCAUUCCGUAUUUCGACACCAUGCAUUUCCGCCUGGACUGCUGAUAACCGGAACAGACUUCACCAAACAACAAGGCGAUAAGCUGAAAAACCAAUCCAAGCUCUGUGAGCAUUAUUUAGAGAGCAAACAUUGGGCUGGAGUGUUAUCUAUCGCAGAAUGGUCUGUCCAGUCACCGCACCUACAUCCCAUUAAACUGCUCGGUGAUGAACUGGAUCACAAGCAUUUCACAGACCCAGGAUGCUAACGCUAGCAUAACCGCCCCUCAGACUCCACUCGGAUUUCUGCUACUUCUCCAAAAAAAUCUCGACGGCUUCAAAUAAACAUGGGCGUUUCUUCCCACUUUUGGUUUUCGAGACCCAGCAGAAUUUAGCCAGUUAGCUGAGCGCGAGCGCCAUCUCCAAACCAGCACGCUCAGACAGCGAGAGCGCUACGUAGGGCGCGCGCGAGUCGCUCUGUCACGGCGCACGAAAGAACACCUAGGUAGGAAGCAGGGCGGCGGAUUGGAAUACGGCCCUCAGCGCCGCUUCCACGCCGCUAAGGCACUUAG
Silurus meridionalis is the source of this 2218-nucleotide long non-coding RNA. RefSeq lists it as uncharacterized. The record is from RefSeq and is a predicted model, not a curated record. The transcript is spliced from 3 exons. NCBI's taxonomy places the organism in Eukaryota, Metazoa, Chordata, Actinopteri, Siluriformes, Siluridae.